GUUGCUACAAAUAGCCUCAGUCAGUCAGUCAGAGGCGCUGGAGUCAAUGAGAAAACAGAAUUCAAUAUCCGGAAUAACACUGGCUUCUUCAGGCCCACGGGUGGGGGACAAACAAGCAAAAAUAAGUCAAAUAUAAGUUCCUUAGAUAAGGUGAAAAUGUCUGCCCAACAAGUUUGUCUAGGAGAAACUGACGCAGAUAAAACUGUUGAAAGUGUUAUAAAACAUAAAGCUGAUUCUAAAGAGAUAGCCCCUAUAACACCUGAGAAUGUAACUCUAGACUCCAGUAUAGAAGAAGCCAAUGUAGUCUUGAAUCUUUUCUUAAACAACAAAUUUACAGAAGCCAGGCAACGCUUAGAACCAUGUGCUGGCUACAGUAUAUACCAUUCCUUAAGCUACAGUGUCAUUCUGUAUAUCCAAGCUAUGAUGACAUUUGACAUGGCAGACAUUGAAAAUGCCAUUGCUGCCAUCAAGAAAACAAUAAUUGUGUCAAACAAUUCCAGACGAAAAGGAAACUUGAUAGGUUCCUUGGCCCGUUCAACUAAAGAUCAAUACGAUAGCUAUACCGAAGCGGAAUGCCAUGCUGAACUUUGUUACGCCGAAGCCCUCCUAAUCCGAGCAAUGCUCACUUUUGUCCAAGACGAGAACUUGAUAAGUUUCGUGAAAGGUGGCCUGAAAAUCAGGGAAUGUUAUAAAACUUACAAAGACUGCAGCAAGAUGCUUCAACAAAGAAACUGUCCCAAUGAUAAACAUAAAGCUCAUUUUGAGAGUGGAGUCUGUAUGGGAAUUGGAUCAUUCAAUUUGAUGAUAUCCAUGUUACCAGGGAAGAUUUUACGUUUGCUUGAGUUUGUUGGAUUCACUGGCUACAAGAAUGAAGGAUUAAUUGAGCUGGACAAAGGAAGCCAACUUCAUACCAGUCUGAGAGGUCCACUCUGUUCAAUCAUCUUAGUGGCCUACCACACCGUGGUCAGUUUUGUUUUAGGUUUAGGUGAUGGUGAUGUGGAUUAUGCAGCUAAAGUGCUGAAGCCUUGUAUUAAAACAUAUCCGAAGGGAGCCUUGUUCCUAUUUUUCUCUGGUCGUGUGGAGGUUGUAAGGGCCAACAUUGAUGAGGCUGUGAUGAAAUUUGAAGAAUCCAUAGAAUCUCAAUCAGAAUGGAGACAGUUCCACCAUUUAUGUUACUGGGAACUCAUGUGGUGUCAUUGCUACAAGAAUGACUGGCUGAUUGCCAUGAAAUAUGCUGAACGACUCUGCAGGGAGAGUCGCUGGAGUAAGGCCACAUACACCUACCAAAAGGCAUCUUUCUUGAUGAUGUGUGAAAAUCCAACAGAAGACACCACCACCCACCUCGAGUACUUACUUGGGGAGGUCCCUAAACUGAAGCAACGGAUUGCUGGCAAGUCCCUCCCCAUUGAAAAGUUUGCUGUUUGUAAAGCCAAUAGAUUCUUUAGUCAAGGCGGCAAGUUGACGUUGCCUGGAUUGGAACUUCUUUAUGUGUGGAAUGGCUUUACAAUAAUUGGAAAGAAAGAGCAUCUGUUGACCCCGUUUAUGGAUAUGGUUGAAUCUACCAUCAAUACCAUCACAUCGAAUCCUGAUGCUUAUCCCAAUUACCACGAUGACUACAGUCUAGCUCUUUUACUGAAGGGAGUUUGUCUCAAAUACCGAGGACAAUAUUUCCAAGCUGAGCAAUGUUUCCUGGAGGUUAUUGGAUAUGAAAAGAAGAUAAAGAUCGAUACUUAUUUGGUCCCUUAUGCUCACCUGGAGCUGUCACUGAUGUACCUGAUUCUACAGAAGCCAGCUGAUGUCCAGAAUUAUAUACAAAAAGCCAAAAGAAACUACAAAGGCUACAUGCUUGAGUCUCGACUUCAUUUCCGCAUCCAUGCAGUGAAGAUCCAGCUGCAUGCCAAAUUCCAAAAUAAUUGUGAGAAUGACAGCGCACCACAGACACCAGGUGCUAACGAGAAAGAGAAAUUACUGGGUAGUAACGAGCAAAGCCCCACAUAACAUAAGAGUUUGGACACUUAGAAUUACUAUUAUCACCUGCUGUUCUAUGAUUUACCUGUUCCCCAUAAAUUCCACACAAAACUUUAUCGCAUUUAUCUCAAUAUGAAAUUUAGAGAGUUAAUAGUCAGUGCCACUGGUCACCACGGUUAAAAAUCUACAUGUGCAUGUGUGUGUGUGUGCGUGUGUUUGUGUGUGUGUGUGUGUGUGUGUGUGUGUGUGUGUACACUUU
This 2227-nucleotide unclassified non-coding RNA is filed under the name Octopus sinensis (East Asian common octopus). RNAcentral describes it as "tetratricopeptide repeat protein 39A, transcript variant X2". The record is from RNAcentral. Lineage: Eukaryota; Metazoa; Mollusca; Cephalopoda; Octopoda; Octopodidae.